UAUAAAGAUGAUAUACAUUGAAUCAAACCAAUGAAUUGUAUCACCUUAAUCUUAAUCACAUUAUAUAUAUACCCACUCACCUGAAGUUUUCUUAACCUCAUUUUCUCUCAAGCUAGCUGCAUACUACACUCCAAUCCCUUUUCUUCUAAUUUGCUUACCAACAAGUCACUUUAAAUUCUCUUUGUCUAGGUGGAAUUUGACGCGUACCUUACCUUCCGAUGUGAACUAGGCUCACAUCAAUCAAGCAUAUAGUCCCUUCCAAUUUGAACCAGGGUCUCACCGCUUUUUUCGAGAGAAUAACCUUGUAUUGAGUUUCGACAAGGUGAAGAAGGAUGGGUCCCAUGAAUGCUACUGAAAUCAAGUUGGCGUGAAGAGUUGCUAAUGCUACAAGAUAGUCCCAACAGAAAAUUCAAUCGUUGAUAGCCGUUUUAUGUAUGAGAAAUUUGCAGUCAAUGAUUCACCUAAGGCCCCCCUUCUCAUUGCUACUCUGAUGAAAGUCAGUUCUUUCAGCAUAUCUAGCAACGGACUUUCAUAUGCCUAAUAAUGCUUUCCAGCUUAGCACAUGUACAAGGAUUAGAGAGAUAUUCGGGAAUGCGGGGUUAGCACAAGAAGGCUUCAGAAUAUGUUUGGGAGAGAAAUUGAUGGGCUUCCAGCUUCAAUGUCUUCUUCCUUAAAAUAUGUAGGCUAUAUGAUAUAUUUUUUUCUUGGAAACAUUACUCGCUUGAUCGUUUCAAUCGCUCACUCAUCUCACAACAACUCUCGGUGUGUCUGAACAGAACAACAUUAAACUCUUUGCGGCCAACAAAAAGAGAUUCGAUAGCUAUUCAGAAGCCUCGGAGGAUUAUGUGAAAAGAUAUGAGAGAUCUUUUAGAAGGCUUCCAGUGGCUCACAAGAUUCAAUGUUAGUCUGGAAUCCUAGGGGAUUUCAGAUUAGGAAGGUGAUCGAUGUCGUAAGGUCGGUCAAAAAUAAAGUAAAGUGUCCUAUUCACCUUUUACUAGUAAAGGGCAAGUAGGGUGUCGAAUCCACGGGGAAUCAGUGGAAAGUGUGAAAGCUCGUUGUUUUAAUUAUCAUCUAUUUCUAAAUUAAUUGCUUUUUGCUGAUUAAGAGAGUUAUUAGAAAAACAAAUGUAAUGGAUGUGGUUGUAAACAAUUAUGA
Long non-coding RNA from Helianthus annuus (common sunflower), 1155 nucleotides. RefSeq lists it as uncharacterized. Lineage: Eukaryota; Viridiplantae; Streptophyta; Magnoliopsida; Asterales; Asteraceae. The transcript has 6 exons. The record is from RefSeq and is a predicted model, not a curated record.